This 77-nucleotide transfer RNA is filed under the name Melioribacteraceae bacterium. RNAcentral's name for it is "tRNA-Glu". It matches the Rfam family "tRNA". Rfam says of the family: Transfer RNA (tRNA) molecules are approximately 80 nucleotides in length. The record is from RNAcentral. Lineage: Bacteria; Pseudomonadati; Ignavibacteriota; Ignavibacteria; Ignavibacteriales; Melioribacteraceae.
GGCCCCUUGGUGUAACCGGUUAACACGUCGCCCUUUCAAGGCGAAGAGUACGGGUUCGAGUCCCGUAGGGGUCACCA